CUUUCCUACGGGACGCAGCAGUGAGGAAUAUUGGUCAAUGGUCGGGAGACUGAACCAGCCAAGCCGCGUGAGGGAUGAAGGUAGAGAGUAUCGUAAAGCUCUUUUGUCAGGGAACAAAGGCGGGGACGCGUCCCCGGAUGAGUGUACCUGAAGAAAAAGCAUCGGCUAACUCCGUGCCAGCAGCCGCGGUAAUACGUAGGGGGCGAGCGUUACCCGGAUUUACUGGGUGUAAAGGGGGCGCAGACGGCCAUGGCAAGCCCGGUGUGAAAGGUGCGGGCACAAC
This 283-nucleotide ribosomal RNA is filed under the name uncultured bacterium. Its description in RNAcentral is "partial 16S ribosomal RNA". It matches the Rfam family "Bacterial small subunit ribosomal RNA", at positions 334 to 613 of the family's 1533-position model. The record is from RNAcentral.